RNAcentral lists this long non-coding RNA (428 nucleotides) under Mytilus galloprovincialis (Mediterranean mussel). The record is from RNAcentral. Lineage: Eukaryota; Metazoa; Mollusca; Bivalvia; Mytilida; Mytilidae.
CGACGACGUAUGGUUGUUAACACAUACUUCCUUUUGUUUCUUAUGGAAAUUUGUCCAUUGACAACAAACAUACACAUCAUCUACUUUAUAUAAGUAUUGUAAAAAUUACAACGUAUUUUGGUGAUCUUGCAAAAUGAUCGUAAUCCCGAAAAUCGUAAACAUAUUUUCUUAUCUUGAAAGGGGGCAAGAAGGGUUCCAUUAACAGGCCAAUAAAUAAGAUUACAGUUAAUUAAAAAAAAAAUAAAAAAAAUAGGGGUAUUUUUUCUCUCAUAAUAACAGUAAACAGAUUCAAAACAAUGUCAAUUUCAAGAAAGCAGACAACAGUUAAUUAGUCAAUAACAGUACAGCAUCAAUGAUCUUGAAUAUAUGCCACUUUUAACUAAAAUAUAAAAGCACAGAACCAGGACAUAGAAGCACAGAACCAGGAC